UGGGGAAUAUUGCACAAUGGGCGAAAGCCUGAUGCAGCGACGCCGCGUGCGGGAUGAAGGCCUUCGGGUUGUAAACCGCUUUUAAUUGGGAGCAAGCGAGAGUGAGUGUACCUUUUGAAUAAGCACCGGCUAACUACGUGCCAGCAGCCGCGGUAAUACGUAGGGUGCAAGCGUUAUCCGGAAUUAUUGGGCGUAAAGAGCUCGUAGACGGUUUGUCACGCCUGGUGUGAAAGUCCAUCGCUUAACGGUGGAUCUGCGCCGGGUACGGGCAGGCUAGAGUGCAGUAGGGGAGAUUGGAAUUCCCGGUGUAACGGUGGAAUGUGUAGAUAUCGGGAAGAACACCAAUGGCGAAGGCAGAUCUCUGGGCUGUUACUGACGCUGAGGAGCGAAAGCAUGGGGAGCGAACAGGAUUAGAUACCCUGGUAGUCCAUGCCGUAAAACGGUGGAUGCUGGAUGUGGGACCCUUCCACGGGUUCCGUGUCGGAGCUAACGCGUUAAGCAUCCCGCCUGGGGGAGUACGGCCGCAAGGCUAAAAACUCUAAAGCGAAUU
RNAcentral lists this ribosomal RNA (550 nucleotides) under uncultured bacterium. Its description in RNAcentral is "partial 16S ribosomal RNA". It matches the Rfam family "Bacterial small subunit ribosomal RNA", at positions 355 to 911 of the family's 1533-position model. The record is from RNAcentral.